RNAcentral lists this transfer RNA (72 nucleotides) under Spirochaetaceae bacterium. RNAcentral describes it as "tRNA-Glu". It matches the Rfam family "tRNA". Rfam says of the family: Transfer RNA (tRNA) molecules are approximately 80 nucleotides in length. The record is from RNAcentral. Lineage: Bacteria; Pseudomonadati; Spirochaetota; Spirochaetia; Spirochaetales; Spirochaetaceae.
GCCUCCUUCGUCUAGUGGUUAGGACACAAGAUUUUCAUUCUUGCAACAUGGGUUCGAUUCCCAUAGGAGGUG